CCUACGGGUGGCAGCAGUGGGGGAUAUUGCACAAUGGGGGGAACCCUGAUGCAGCGACGCAGCGUGGGUGAAGAAGGGCCUCGGCGCGUAAAGCCCUGUCAGCAGGGAAGAAAAUGACGGUACCUGAAGAAGAAGCCCCGGCUAACUACGUGCCAGCAGCCGCGGUAAUACGUAGGGGGCAAGCGUUAUCCGGAUUUACUGGGUGUAAAGGGGGCGCAGACGGCGAUGCAAGCCAGGAGUGAAAGCCCGGGGCCCACCCCCGGGACUGCUCGUGGAACUGCGUGGCUGGAGUGCAGGAGGGGCAGGCGGCAUUCCUGGUGUAGCGGUGACAUGCGUAGAUAUCAGGAGGACCCCCGGUGGCGACGGCGGCCUGCUGGACUGCAACUGCCGUUGAGGCCCGACAGCGUGGGGAGCAAACAGGAUUAGAUCCCCUGGUAGUC
This 440-nucleotide ribosomal RNA is filed under the name uncultured bacterium. RNAcentral's name for it is "partial 16S ribosomal RNA". It matches the Rfam family "Bacterial small subunit ribosomal RNA", at positions 338 to 795 of the family's 1533-position model. The record is from RNAcentral.